UACGUAGGGUGCGAGCGUUAAUCGGCAUUACUGGGCGUAAAGCGUGCGUAGGCGGUCCGCGAAGUCUGAUGUGAAAGCCCCGGGCUCAACCUGGGAACUGCAUUGGAAACUAACGGGCUCGAGUGUGGCAGAGGGGGGUGGAAUUCCACGUGUAGCAGUGAAAUGCGUAGAGAUGUGGAGGAACACCGAUGGCGAAGGCAGCCCCCUGGGCUAACACUGACGCUCAGGCACGAAAGCGUGGGGAGCAAACAGG
This 253-nucleotide ribosomal RNA is filed under the name uncultured bacterium. RNAcentral's name for it is "partial 16S ribosomal RNA". It matches the Rfam family "Bacterial small subunit ribosomal RNA", at positions 524 to 776 of the family's 1533-position model. The record is from RNAcentral.